AGAGCGGCGCACGGGUGAGUAACGCGUACGCAACUUACCCUUGAGCGGGGAAUAGCCCUGGGAAACUGGGAUUAAUGCCCCAUAGUUUUACUGAUAGGCAUCUUGAAGUAAAUAAAGUUGAGGCGCUCAAGGAUAGGCGUGCGUCUGAUUAGCUAGUUGGUAGGGUAACGGCUUACCAAGGCGACGAUCAGUAGGGGGCGUGAGAGCGUGAUCCCCCACACGGGUACUGAGACACGGACCCG
Molecule: ribosomal RNA, 242 nt
Filed under: uncultured bacterium
Lineage: Bacteria
Description: partial 16S ribosomal RNA
Rfam family: Bacterial small subunit ribosomal RNA
Source: RNAcentral